ACGGGUGAGUAAUACAUCGGAACGUGCCCUGUAGUGGGGGAUAACUAGUCGAAAGAUUAGCUAAUACCGCAUACGACCUGAGGGUGAAAGUGGGGGACCGCAAGGCCUCAUGCUAUAGGAGCGGCCGAUGUCUGAUUAGCUAGUUGGUGAGGUAAAGGCUCACCAAGGCGACGAUCAGUAGCUGGUCUGAGAGGACGAUCAGCCACACUGGGACUGAGACACGGCCCAGACUCCUACGGGAGGCAGCAGUGGGGAAUUUUGGACAAUGGGGGCAACCCUGAUCCAGCAAUGCCGCGUGCGUGAAGAAGGCCUUCGGGUUGUAAAGCACUUUUGUCCGGAAAGAAAUCGCACUUACUAAUAUUAGGUGUGGAUGACGGUACCGGAAGAAUAAGGACCGGCUAACUACGUGCCAGCAGCCGCGGUAAUACGUAGGGUCCAAGCGUUAAUCGGAAUUACUGGGCGUAAAGCGUGCGCAGGCGGUUGUGCAAGACCGAUGUGAAAUCCCCGGGCUUAACCUGGGAAUUGCAUUGGUGACUGCACGGCUAGAGUGUGUCAGAGGGGGGGUAGAAUUCCACGU
RNAcentral lists this ribosomal RNA (577 nucleotides) under uncultured bacterium. Its description in RNAcentral is "bacterial SSU rRNA". It matches the Rfam family "Bacterial small subunit ribosomal RNA", at positions 102 to 674 of the family's 1533-position model. The record is from RNAcentral.